GCAUCGGCUGAGGAAUGAUGCAUCUGGAAAGAGAGAGAGAGAGAGAGAGAGAGAGGGAGAGAAAGAGAGAGAGAGAGAGGGAGAGUCGUGCGCGCUGAGCCAUGAGCCAUUUUUGGGAAGCUCUUCGUGACAGUCGGCUGAGUCGUGAUCUUUGGAGAGGAGAAAAUUUACGCAUGGUGCGCAACAUUGAUCCGAUCCACCGGCCACAUUUCCAUUGACAGUAUUUCCUCCAUCACAAAAGGGCAUAGCCUGGUUGCUAAUAUUAGCACUUCCACUGGCCAGAAGCUCUAUGACCAAGAAAAAACAACUGAAAAACUACUUCAAGAAGCCAUAACAACACAAUGAAAGGACUUUCUGUCUGUAUUUAACAAUGGAGAACAAGAGAAGAACAAGCAACCAUACUGACCUGGAGAAAUGCCUUUCCUGGAAGGAGCACCGCUUCAGGUUUUGAUGUGUCAAAAGAAAGAGACAUGGAGUGAUGCUGAUGCCAGCUUUGAGGUAGAUUCACAUAAAAUGAUCUCCUAGGAUUUCAGGCUAUAUAGCUCACAUAGCUAUUAAUAUAACUAAGAAAAAAAGACUAAGCUGAUAUAUACAGAUAGAUUUAUUGGAUGUUAAUUAAUAUUACGUAGAUCAGAGGUGUCCAAUCUUAACCACAAAGGGCCAGUGUGGGUGCAUUUUUUCAUCCAUGCAGGAGCUACACCUGAUUCCACCUGUUUAACCAGUUGACCUUGACUUUCAGUAGACUCAGGUGUGGCUUCUGCUUGAUUGGCAUGAAAACCUGCUCCCACACCGGCCCUUUCUGGAUAGGAUAAGAUGAGUUAGAUUAAAAAGUGUCCCUUACAUGAAUAUUCAGCUACUUUUAACUUAAAUUUACCAUAAUGCAUGAAUCUGUGUUACUUUUCUUGGCUGUUUCCUUUUUAUCAUUUCUUAAUAUAUUGGAGGUAAAAUGUGUAAUUCAUGUUCAAAAUCCAAUCUGUAAACAUUAAACAAAAUGUCCUGUUAGUGUCUGUUCAAUAAAAGCACUAAACUGUAAACAA
Pangasianodon hypophthalmus (striped catfish) is the source of this 1037-nucleotide long non-coding RNA. RefSeq lists it as uncharacterized. NCBI's taxonomy places the organism in Eukaryota, Metazoa, Chordata, Actinopteri, Siluriformes, Pangasiidae. The transcript is spliced from 5 exons. The record is from RefSeq and is a predicted model, not a curated record.